Molecule: ribosomal RNA, 745 nt
Filed under: Streptococcus orisasini
Lineage: Bacteria; Bacillati; Bacillota; Bacilli; Lactobacillales; Streptococcaceae
Description: bacterial SSU rRNA
Rfam family: Bacterial small subunit ribosomal RNA
Source: RNAcentral
GACAAACACAUGUUAGUGAUUUGAAAGGGGCAAAUGCUCCACUAUAAGCUGGACCUGCGUUGUAUUAGCUAGUUGGUAGGGUAAAGGCCUACCAAGGCUGCGAUACAUAGCCGACCUGAGAGGGUGAACGGCCACACUGGGACUGAGACACGGCCCAGACUCCUACGGGAGGCAGCAGUAGGGAAUCUUCGGCAAUGGGGGGAACCCUGACCGAGCAACGCCGCGUGAGUGAAGAAGGUUUUCGGAUCGUAAAGCUCUGUUGUCAGAGAAGAACGGGUGUGAGAGUGGAAAGUUCACACAGUGACGGUACCUGACGAGAAAGGGACGGCUAACUACGUGCCAGCAGCCGCGGUAAUACGUAGGUCCCGAGCGUUGUCCGGAUUUAUUGGGCGUAAAGCGAGCGCAGGCGGCUCUGUAAGUCUGAAGUAAAAGGCAGUGGCUUAACCAUUGUGUGCUUUGGAAACUGCGGGGCUUGAGUGCAGAAGGGGAGAGUGGAAUUCCAUGUGUAGCGGUGAAAUGCGUAGAUAUAUGGAGGAACACCGGUGGCGAAAGCGGCUCUCUGGUCUGAGACUGACGCUGAGGCUCGAAAGCGUGGGUAGCGAACAGGAUUAGAUACCCUGGUAGUCCACGCCGUAAACGCUGAGUGCUAGGUGUUAGGCCCUUUCCGGGGCUUAGUGCCGUAGCUAACGCAAUAAGCACUCCGCCUGGGGAGUACGACCGCAAGGUUGAAACUCAAAGGAAUUGA